Molecule: ribosomal RNA, 253 nt
Filed under: uncultured bacterium
Lineage: Bacteria
Description: partial 16S ribosomal RNA
Rfam family: Bacterial small subunit ribosomal RNA
Source: RNAcentral
UACGUAGGGUCCGAGCGUUGUCCGGAUGGACUGGGCGUAAAGCGCGCGCAGGCGGCCCGCGAGGUGUCCUGUGAAAGCCCCGUGCUCAACGCGGGAGGGUCAGGGCAAACCGGCGGGCUUGAGGCCGGUAGAGGUGGGUGGAACUCCUGGUGGAGUGGUGAAAUGCGUAGAGAUCAGGAAGAACACCCGUGGCGAAGGCGGCCCACUGGGCCGGACCUGACGCUGAGGCGCGAAGGCGUGGGGAGCGAACGGG